Molecule: ribosomal RNA, 503 nt
Filed under: uncultured bacterium
Lineage: Bacteria
Description: partial 16S ribosomal RNA
Rfam family: Bacterial small subunit ribosomal RNA
Source: RNAcentral
AUUGAACGCUGGCGGCAGGCUUAACACAUGCAAGUCGAGCGGGGUGAUGGUGCUUGCACUAUCACUUAGCGGCGGACGGGUGAGUAAUGCUUAGGAAUCUGCCUAUUAGUGGGGGACAACAUCUCGAAAGGGAUGCUAAUACCGCAUACGUCCUACGGGAGAAAGCAGGGGAUCACUUGUGACCUUGCGCUAAUAGAUGAGCCUAAGCCGGAUUAGCUAGUUGGUGGGGUAAAGGCCUACCAAGGCGACGAUCUGUAGCGGGUCUGAGAGGAUGAUCCGCCACACUGGGACUGAGACACGGCCCAGACUCCUACGGGAGGCAGCAGUGGGGAAUAUUGGACAGUGGGGGGAACCCUGAUCCAGCCAUGCCGCGUGUGUGAAGAAGGCCUUAUGGUUGUAAAGCACUUUAAGCGAGAAGGAGGCUCUUUUGGUUAAUACCCAAGAUGAGUGGACGUUACUCGCAGAAUAAGCACCGGCUAACUCUGUGCCAGCCGCCGCGGUAA